AACGCAUAUUGCGCUCUUUGGUAUUCCGAAGAGCAUGCUUGUUUGAGUAUCAGUAAACACCUCAAAGCUUUUGAUUUUUUUCAAAAGUUUUGGACUUGAGCAAUCCCAACACUGGUCUUUUACAGAUCGGCGGCGGGUUGCUUGAAAUGCAGGUGCAGCUGGACAUUCUCCUGAGCUAAAAGCAUAUUUAUUUAGUCCCGUCAAACGGAUUAUUACUUUUGCUGCAGCUAAUAUAAAGGGAGUUUGACCGUAUUGGCUGACUGAUGCAGGAUUUCACAAGGGUCGGCAACGAUUCUUGUAAAACUCGAUCUCAAAUCAAGUAAGACUACCCGCUGAACUUAA
RNAcentral lists this unclassified non-coding RNA (342 nucleotides) under uncultured Mortierella. RNAcentral's name for it is "sequence contains ITS2". The record is from RNAcentral. Lineage: Eukaryota; Fungi; Mortierellomycota; Mortierellomycetes; Mortierellales; Mortierellaceae.